This 22-nucleotide ribosomal RNA is filed under the name Claopodium whippleanum. RNAcentral's name for it is "partial 18S ribosomal RNA". The record is from RNAcentral. Lineage: Eukaryota; Viridiplantae; Streptophyta; Bryopsida; Hypnales; Leskeaceae.
CCCGCGGCGAACGAACACAUUG